Suricata suricatta (meerkat) is the source of this 271-nucleotide long non-coding RNA. RefSeq lists it as uncharacterized. NCBI's taxonomy places the organism in Eukaryota, Metazoa, Chordata, Mammalia, Carnivora, Herpestidae. The transcript is spliced from 2 exons. The record is from RefSeq and is a predicted model, not a curated record.
GGUUGGUUACCUCUUGCCCCUUCUUGGCUGAUCCCAAAGUUCAACAAAGAUUAAAAGCAAUUUAUCCAGCCACUCUGAAAAAAAACGGCCUGUCAGGAGCCUUCUUUGGAGCAGAGUGUUUUUCCUCAAAAGAAGCCCCAGAUUGCCCUCAGUGCAAGGACAGGAUUUUGGUGUGUCUUCCCCAGUGUGUCUGUGGGUCUGUCCUGCACCCAGAGAAGCGUGGCGUGUCUGGCAUGGGCCCUUGCUUUUUCUCUAAAGAUAUGGAUGUGUA